Molecule: non-coding RNA, 100 nt
Organism: Tilletiaria anomala UBC 951
Lineage: Eukaryota; Fungi; Basidiomycota; Exobasidiomycetes; Georgefischeriales; Tilletiariaceae
Source: the annotation of a RefSeq genome assembly
AGCGUCUUAACUCAGUCGGUAGAGUGUUGGGCUCAUACAAUUCAAGUAUUAACUUGAAAGUGGCACCCAAAUGUCCUCGGAUCAAGACCGAGAGACGCUA